CACCAGCAUGGGAGAAAUUUGAGAUUGUUUACAUUUCCACUGAGGCAUAUAUUCUGGACCACCUGGAAAAAUUCUCUAAAAUUCCAUUAGGCCAUCAAUCUAACCCUUCUCAUGGGUAGGUGAGAGAUACAACCAGCAGGACAAAAAGUUUGAUUUGUUCUUUUCUAUCAGUCACAAAAGCUAAGAAAGGAGGAAAGCAGUGCUCAUUCAUUAAAUAAACCCAAUGAAACCAGAUGUGAUUAAAGCAGGUGAUUGAUGUGUUAAGUGUAGUUUAACCAGCAGCUAGACAUUGGUCUUCAGCCACCAAGAAGGUACACUCUUUUCGUAUUGUGUUGCCUUAGAUUGCAUAUAAUCUUGGCCUUGCUGGAUAUGUACUAGGUGUUGUCCUGCUGAUCAGUAUUGAUACCAAACAUGGCAGAUGCAACUCAAUCCUAGAUCCUUCAUGGAUGCUGAUGAUUAAAAAAAUCCAAGUAUUCAUAAGGAAACAAUGAAAGAGGACCUUCCCAAACAAAUAUUGAAGAUUGCAAGGCCAACCUAUUUAAUCCUGAAUCCCCUAAAAAUGUUUCCUCCAACUGGCUUGUAUGGGUGGGCUCAGGGUUGAAAAAGAGUCAUAUUGAAAGACUGUGUAAUUUUGUAUUUGAUAAAAGGUGCUUCUUGUGAGACUCAAAAAAUACCUGUUUUUGAGACUGGCUUGGGGGUGCCUUGUUGGCUCAGUCAGUAGAGCAUGUGACUCUUGAUCUCAGGGUCAUGAGUUCAAGCCCCAUGAUGGGCAUAGAGCUUACUUAAAAGAGUAAAUAAAAUAUAUUUUUAAAAAUCAAUUUAAAAAAUAAAAAGACUGGAUUAAGGUACUGGGCUGCCUUUCUCUCUGGCUCCUAUGCCACACAAAGAUAAAAAGGUGACAUCUGCCUGAUUUUUUAUUGUUUCAAAUUAUACCAGUAUUUGUUAACCCAAAGGUCCACAACAACAAAAAAUGGGAAAAGGAUCCUGAAUGAUAAAAUAGAUUAUCCUUCUCUGAAAGCUCAUCUUACAUAAGAAAUGGGGCAUUAAUAAUACUUCCAUCAUAGGGUUGUUGUUACAAAUAAAUGAACUAAUGCAAUGUAGAAAAUUCAGUGCAGAGCUCAGGGAAAGCUCAAUACAUUUAACUAUCAUCAUUAUUUUAAGAAUUGCGUAGUAUGCUGGUUUGCACAUGUGUAAUGCAUUCCUCUUUUAAGUGCCACUUUCCUAAGUGAUACUUGUGCAUUAAGAGUACUAUCCUGCAUUAGAAAGAACCCCAGACUGAACAUAGAUAAAUUUCUAUUGUGGUUCCUGUGUUGCCAAGGACUGGACUUUUUUAUAUGACCUGGUACAAGUCACUUCAUCAUGACAGAAUUCAAUUUCCUUGUCUGUGAUAUGUGUUGGUCUCAGUAAUUCUAAAUUGCCUUCUUGACCUAGUUCAUUUAAUUCCUAUGACUAAAAUAUAUAUUAUGUUAUUUAUGCAGUCAUAAACAAAAGUGAGUAAAUGUAUUCAUCCCUCUGGCUUUCUCAAUAAGAAGAUUUGAACAAAUACAGUUUCCGUUUUCCACAUCUGUCCACACUUUUUAAAAAAUGCUUAGCUAUCAUGUCCUUACACAGUGUCGAAGUUGCUAGCAACAGCACCUACAAUCCUCUGAUAAGAUUAAAUAUGUACCUUUAGUACUACAGAAGUUGAAUACCACCUGACUUUGAAUAUAUGAAAUGUAUAGUCAAUUCUAUUUUUUAUUAUUUAAGCACCUCCCUUAAAUUAGUGCAUUGUUAUAUUACCUAAGAAUAGAUUGAGAUUUUCCACAGUAUUUGACUCUAAUAAACCUUAAAAGAUCUGAAUAUAUACUGCUGGUUACCUAAAAGCUGUCCCUCUUUUCUUCUUUGCUAAAAGAAUACUGCUUUCAUUCAGGUAUUACUGACCACGUAUUUCAGAAAAGACAAGUUCCCAAGGGCUGUGUCUUGAUUAGUCUACACUAUUGCCCUUUCAAGUGAUUGGUUUAGAAAAAAGCAUGUGACUGACUCAGUUCUGGGAAAUGAGACAUGAGAAAAAGUCUGCAGGAAGGCUUGUGGGAAAGGUUUCUUUGUUCUUAAAAAAGAGACAAGAGGGGAAAUGUCUUUUUACCACUUCUGGCAGUUAUCAUCUCUGUGUAAUGUCUGGAACUGUAGGAGCUGUUUUGUGACCAAAAGGUGAGCCAGCCUAAGAAGCUGCAGAGUGAAAAAUGGAAAAAUCUGGAUCCUUCAUGAUUUUAUUCAGUCGCUGAGUUAAUCACACUGGAAUUUAAUCAACUUUAGACUUCUUGUUUUGUGAGAUUGUAAAUGUCCUUAUUGCUUAGGUCACUUUAAGUUGGGCUUCAUGUUACAUCUGAAACAUCAUAUAUGGCACAUAAUAUAUUACUCAGAAGAGCUAGCUGCAGUAACAAACAUCCAAGAUUUCAGUGGCUUAAGCCAAUAGAAAUUCGUUUCUUGCUCACCUUACGGUCAAGUUUGAGUCAGCAGAGGUCUGUGCUCCAUGCAGCCAUCCGUAGACCAGUGUGGUUCCACCUCAUUUAUAUGCAGGCAUAUAAUGGGGACAAAAGAGGUAAUGAGGAAACAAAGAGACACACACAUUCCAAUACCUGGACCUCUGUCAUGUAACCCCACCUAAUCAAUUGGGAAAUGUAGUCAAUUCAUGUGUCAGGAGGAAGAAGAAAGAGGUUUGGCAUACACAUAGUAUUAUCUCUAAUUUUUCUUUAACAAUUAUGAUAUAACUUUUUUUAAAAAAUCAGUAUUUGCUUAAUGAUGUGGGGCAGUAAGCACAAAAAUCAUCUGCUAUACCACCUACUCGACUAAAAAGUGCUCUACCUUAAGAGUAUCUUGCUUUGGGGCGCCUGGGUGGCUCAGAUGGUUAAGCGUCUGCCUUCGGCUCAGGUCAUGAUCCCAGGGUUCUGGGAUUGAGUCCCGCUUCGGGCUCCCUGCUAGGCGGGGAGCCUGCUUCUCCCUCUGCCUCUGCCUCUCUCUCUCUGACUUUCAUGAAUAAAUAAAUAAAAAAAAAAAAACAUUAAAAAAAAAAGAGUAUCUUGCUUUGAUGGGGCGCAUGGCUGGCUCAGUUAGGGGAGCAUGCGACUCUUGAUCUCAGGGUCAUGAGUUCAAGCCCCACAUUGGGCAGUAGAGCUUGCUUAAAAAUAGUGUUAUGCUUUGAAAGAUAAAUUUUUCCCCUUAUAUAUAGUCCACAAAGAAUCCUUUUUCCUACUCCAAUAAAAUUAGGGAUAUCCUGUCUACAUACUGGAAAGAGAUACAAAAUAGAUGGGAUUAAUAUGUAGUAUCUUCCCAAAGAUCAAGUUUAUUUUUGAAUGGAAAAAAGUCUGUUCAAUCAGACUGAGUAUUUGAUACAGUAGAUUAUAAAAAAGGGUGAUUUUCAAAAUUUGGUUUAGAAUGCAAAAGUGAAUGUUAUGUUUAUUAAGUGAAUCUUAGCCAUUGGAACUUACUUUCUCUAGAUGGUUUGUCAAAACCUAAAAAGUAUCUUUAAUAUCACUUUUGAUUUGUUUUAUUUUUAAUGUUUCUUUACUACACUAUGAAGAUUAAAGAUCAAGAGGAAUUGUUGAAUAAGCUGUGGUUUCUUCUGUACAUCUUUAGAGAUGUGUGUGUGUGUGAGUGUGUGUGUGUGUCUGUGUUUGGAUAUUCUCAGCAGCCUCAUUCUACAUACCAUAUUUUAGAAAUAAAGUUUUGGGGGCAAUAGAGCAGUACACAGAUCAAUCACAAACACUAUCCUGUUGUGGUCUGUAGCCAAUAUCUGAUACUUAUGGGAAAAACAGGGAGAAAAGAUAACACUGAACCACCCGUGGGAGAUUUUUCAUGUCUGGUGGGUGACAGAGAAAGUGAAGCAAAACCAAUCCCAUUACCACUAGUUAUGCUUCAACCACUCCAAUUUCAUUCAUUUUGCUUUUAUUUCUGAUGUGCAGAAGCCGUUUGAUAAAUUCCCUUCUGGGGACAGGCCAGUGUUGGAAGAAUGUACAUUAAAAAGUUAUGAAGAGUACAUAAUUUAUUAAACCCAACUCAUUAUUGGAAACUGUUAGCAUACAAUUCAUUUAAUAGGAAUCACUGGUGAAGAAAAUGACUGUUUUGAUCUGAUCGCAUAAGCAAUGGCGUAAUUUUCCUUGUCUGUGGUGAUUUACUUAAUCUUGAACAACAUGAAUACUCAGUCUGCUUGCUGCUGGGAAACAGACAUGUAUGUUAUGUUAUUUAUUAAUGGCAAUGGCUUUACAUUUUUAUUAUGUUCUGUAACAAAUAGACUCUCCAAGUUUUCAGCAAAAUGAUUGAAUAAUUGAAUAGAGUAGCUGUAUCCCUGAGUACACAGUGGACAAGAAUAAGAAACGGUCUUACUGACAAACACCAAGGCCUAGGAGCCUGUCAUCCAUUAACAAGUUUCACUCAGGAAGACAACUGAUCAAUCAAAAAAGCUUUCCUGUCUGCCUACUAUGCACCAGAGAAAGCCUUUACAUUGUAAAGUGAAAACAUAAAACAUCAAAGGGCUAAGGAGACAAGAUAUAUACAUUAAAAUAUCUAGGCUAGAGAUAUAAGGAAGCGUGUCCCCAAACUCUAGAUGAUCAUGUACUAGAAGAGGUUAGGGGAGGCGAGAGCUCAGUGCUGUCAGAUGGCCAGGGGUAAUCUUUAUAGUCUUAUCUCUGGCCCUAGGGAGAUUUUCUUCAUGUAAUUUUGAACAUUAUUUUGCAAGCCGAAUGUUACAGACCUAUGGCAGGAUAAUUUCAAGUUAUAUAUUAAAAUAUAUUUAGCCAUUUCCCUAUUAAAGAGCAUUUACUUUAUUUCCAGUGUUUCCCACUACAGAGAUACCAUAAUAAUCAGUCUUGAAGUAUUUUUGCUCUUUUUUUUCCGUAGCAUACAUUUCCAGAAGUGGAAUUGCCAGAUCAAAAGGCAUGACUGCUGUUUAUCUCCUGUCUGCUGAAAUCAUCUCCUGACCGAUGCUUUCAAGAUCGAAUAUCAGAACCUUCACCAUCUUCUUCCAGACAGCACCCUCUCCUGUAAGGCUCCACCACCGAAGCUCCAGACAACAGAAAAUGCCAAAGCUGCACAAUGGCCCUGAUAGAGGAAAACAAUACUUCUCUUUGUUUUUGGCGUUUGGGAUUGUUAUGGGUCCCAAACAGCUGCUGUCUCUCAUAGUAGGUUAGGAUUUUCUAAAGAGAGGCUCUGGCACAAGAUUUUGAGAGCAGAAGAGGAAAAUCCAGAUUCCUUGAAGUAAGUACAGUCAACUGCAUGCAUAGAUCUGAGAUUCACAGAAGCUUCCUGGCAAGUUUUUGCAAACCAGCCAUUUCACUAAUGCAGACUGAGAGAAUUGGGGGUAGUUUCCCAGAGAUUCUAGACUAUUAAAGCUUCUGGGCAAAGUAAGGACGCACUUCGAUAUUUUAGGCCGAGAACUUCACUGACAUUUGUUCUCUCGGCUACUCUAACAGUUGUAUGUGCUUCUAUUUCGGAUAGUAAACUUUUGUGUCCAAGUCACACAGUGAAUAAAUAAUGAAGUGAAUAGUCUCAGACAAUACUAUUGUCGAUAUCCACCUCCAGUUCUUCGGUUCUUAGACAAAGACAAGUGGAAGACUUCACAUAAUUAUCUUUGUGUCUACAACAUUAGCCAAAGGCAAAAGUAAUUGUGUGAGUAGUAAAGAACCCCAACUCUGGUUUAUGGAUUUCUUAGCCUUUUUUAAGAAUUGAAACUGGCCUCAGUGGUAGGACUGAUCCAAACACCUUCUUGAGCUUGUAGGCAAAUAAGCUCACGUUGUGGUGCUUCUCUUCUCAUUGGGAGAUAAAAGCCAUCUGUAAACUUGCUCCUUGCUCAGUGUUUUCAUUCUUUCAAAUGCAUGCAAUUGUGAUAAAAUUAAAAUAGACUAUUUAUCCCAGCUAUUGCACUGCCCUGCUCACAUAGGGAUUCUCUACGCCACAUCUGUACAUGGCAUAGAUCUCUUACUCAUUUUCUAUACUCAAAGCCCCCUGGCUUGACAGGUGGUUCUUAUAUUACUGAAAAUUUCACUCUUGUCCCCAGUGGCUGCUUAAUAUUUUUAGCCUUUUCUCUUCUCUGUCAUUAUCUUCUGAUGUUAACAGAGGUAAACUUAGGCUAUAAAUAUAUAUAUUUUUUACGAAUACAAAGAGUGCCUUACUUAAUUUUCACAAACCCUAUUUUAAACAAUAUCAGAGUACCUCUGUAUUAGAAAUGUGGUCACUUUUAAAUGUUGUAUGUAGGGGAGCCUGGAUGGCUCAGUUGGUUAAGCAUCCAACUCUUUUUUUUUUUUUUUAAAGAUUUUAUUUAUUUUUUUGACAGAGACAUAGCGAGAGCAGGAACACAAGCAG
Mirounga angustirostris (Northern elephant seal) is the source of this 6333-nucleotide long non-coding RNA. RefSeq lists it as uncharacterized. NCBI's taxonomy places the organism in Eukaryota, Metazoa, Chordata, Mammalia, Carnivora, Phocidae. The transcript has 3 exons. The record is from RefSeq and is a predicted model, not a curated record.